GACGAGGGGUCCUAGCGUUGUUCGGAAUCACUGGGCGUAAAGCGUAUGUAGGCGGCUCUUUAAGUCGGAUGUGAAAUCCCAUGGCUCAACCAUGGAAUUGCAUUCGAUACUGUUGAGCUUGAGUGUGGGAGAGAUUGGUAGAAUACCUGGUGUAGUGGUGAAAUACGUAGAUAUCAGGUGGAAUACCGGUGGCGAAGGCGGCCAAUUGGCCCAACACUGACGCUGAGAUACGAAAGCGUGGGGAUCAAACAGG
Molecule: ribosomal RNA, 253 nt
Filed under: uncultured bacterium
Lineage: Bacteria
Description: partial 16S ribosomal RNA
Rfam family: Bacterial small subunit ribosomal RNA
Source: RNAcentral